UACGGAGGAUCCGAGCGUUAUCCGGAUUUAUUGGGUUUAAAGGGUGCGCAGGCGGGAGAUUAAGUCGGUGGUGAAAUUUUGCAGCUCAACUGUAACAGUGCCAUUGAUACUGGUUUCCUUGAGUGUGGAUGAAGUAGGCGGAAUUUGUGGUGUAGCGGUGAAAUGCAUAGAUAUCACGAAGAACUCCGAUCGCGUAGGCAGCUUACUAAACCAUAACUGACGCUCAUGCACGAAGGCGUGGGGAUCAAACAGGAUUAGA
This 259-nucleotide ribosomal RNA is filed under the name uncultured prokaryote. RNAcentral's name for it is "partial 16S ribosomal RNA". It matches the Rfam family "Bacterial small subunit ribosomal RNA", at positions 524 to 782 of the family's 1533-position model. The record is from RNAcentral.